UCUUGACUAGUAUAUCGGUUCAGUACACCUGCUUGUCAUGAUCGCAGAGUUUUGGCUAGUCCGCGGGAGAGCAGGGUUCGACUCCCUGGUCGAGAG
Roridomyces roridus is the source of this 96-nucleotide non-coding RNA. The record is from the annotation of a GenBank genome assembly. NCBI's taxonomy places the organism in Eukaryota, Fungi, Basidiomycota, Agaricomycetes, Agaricales, Mycenaceae.